This 808-nucleotide ribosomal RNA is filed under the name uncultured organism. RNAcentral describes it as "bacterial SSU rRNA". It matches the Rfam family "Bacterial small subunit ribosomal RNA", at positions 504 to 1326 of the family's 1533-position model. The record is from RNAcentral.
CGUGCCAGCAGCCGCGGUAAGACGUAGGACGCAAGCGUUAUCCGGAUUUACUGGGCGUAAAGCGUCUGUAGGCGGUUGGGUAAGUUGGGCGUGAAAGCUCCGUGCUCAACGCGGAGAGGUCGUUCAAUACUGCCGAACUAGAGGACAUCAGAGGAGCAUGGAAUUUCCGGUGUAGCGGUAAAAUGCGCAGAUAUCGGAAGGAACACCAGUGGCGAAGGCGGUGCUCUGGGGUGUGCCUGACGCUGAGAGACGAAAGCUAGGGGAGCGAACAGGAUUAGAGACCCUGGUAGUCCUAGCCCUAAACGAUGGAUGCUAGAUGUGGGGCCGAGAAGGCUCCGUGUCGCAGUUAACGCGGUAAGCAUCCCGCCUGGGGAUUACGGCCGCAAGGCUAAAACUCAAACGAAUUGACGGGGCCCCGCACAAGCAGCGGAGCGUGUGGUUUAAUUCGAUGCUACACGAAGAACCUUACCUGGGUUUGACAUGUAAGUGGUAGUGAAGCGAAAGCGGAGCGACCCUUCGGGGAGCUUACACAGGUGCUGCAUGGCUGUCGUCAGCUCGUGCCGUGAGGUGUCGGGUUAAGUCCCGUAACGAGCGCAACCCUUGCCCUUAGUUACAAGUGUCUAAGGGGACUGCCGGCGGUAAGCCGGAGGAAGGUGGGGAUGACGUCAAGUCAGCAUGGCCCUUAUAUCCAGGGCUACACACACGCUACAAUGGUCAGUACAAAGGGCAGCGAAGCCGCGAGGUGAAGCGAAUCCCACCAAAGCUGAUCUAAGUUCGGAUUGCAGGCUGCAACUCGCCUGCAUGAAGC